AAGAUUACAAUGGUUCAAUACGAUAGAAGUGCAAUUUUACACUUUAGGAAGUCUGGUGAGAUUCCAGUACAGUUUUAUCCCUACUGUAAUGAGUUACGAAAGCUACACAACCACUGGUUGAUCCGGGAAGGGCAGCAAUUAGGUCUGAACUUUAGUCAGGAUACAAGUAUUGAAUCAUUAGAAAGC
Molecule: non-coding RNA, 186 nt
Filed under: Clostridium sp.
Lineage: Bacteria; Bacillati; Bacillota; Clostridia; Eubacteriales; Clostridiaceae
Also listed under: 1 other name
Source: RNAcentral